This 69-nucleotide transfer RNA is filed under the name Plestiodon dugesii. RNAcentral describes it as "partial tRNA-Gln". It matches the Rfam family "tRNA". Rfam says of the family: Transfer RNA (tRNA) molecules are approximately 80 nucleotides in length. Their secondary structure includes four short double-helical elements and three loops (D, anti-codon, and T loops). The record is from RNAcentral. Lineage: Eukaryota; Metazoa; Chordata; Lepidosauria; Squamata; Scincidae.
AGGGGGUAGUAUAAUGGGAGUACGCGGGGUUUUGAGCCCCUUGGUACAGGUUCGAGUCCUGUCUUUCUA